This 385-nucleotide unclassified non-coding RNA is filed under the name uncultured fungus. RNAcentral describes it as "partial contains 5.8S ribosomal RNA and internal transcribed spacer 2". The stretch from base 1 to 133 matches the Rfam family "5.8S ribosomal RNA", at positions 22 to 154 of the family's 154-position model. Lineage: Eukaryota; Fungi. The record is from RNAcentral.
UGGCUCUCGCAUCGAUGAAGAACGCAGCGAAAUGCGAUAAGUAAUGUGAAUUGCAGAAUUCAGUGAAUCAUCGAAUCUUUGAACGCACCUUGCACCCCUUGGUAUUCCGAGGGGUAUGCCUGUUUGAGUGUCAUUAAAUUAUCAACUCGAAAACCUUUCGAGGUUAGUCGACGUUUGGAUUUGGAGCGUGCCAGAUAACCCUGGCUCCUCUUUAAAUACAUCCAGUGGAACCUUUGCUGAACCAGUUUCCAGCGUGAUAAUUAUCUACGUUGCCAAACUGCCCAGCGAGCCAGGAUUCGCUUACAACCGUCAUCCCAAGGGUGACAAGGGGAUCUCCCCUUCACAUUGACAAUUUGACCUCAAAUCAGGUAGGACCACCCGCUGA